This is a long non-coding RNA of Tyto alba (common barn owl), 5747 nucleotides long. RefSeq lists it as uncharacterized. The transcript is spliced from 7 exons. NCBI's taxonomy places the organism in Eukaryota, Metazoa, Chordata, Aves, Strigiformes, Tytonidae. The record is from RefSeq and is a predicted model, not a curated record.
ACCUGCCGCCGCUGCCGGCUCUUUGUCUGCUCGGGCAACUUGGAACAAAAGGAGAAACUCGGAUGAACUCUCUCCAUCUCUCUCUCUCUCUCUCUCCUCUCCCGGGUUAUCUCAUCUUCGGCAACUUUAUCCGGAGAGAUUUACUCAACUUUCUCCGAGCUCUCUCUCUCCCGCCGCUUGAAAGCAAACAGCCCCGCGGUAGGCUCCUAAGGAAAUCGGGUUUCGCAGUUUAAAGAAAGGAGAAGGUCAAAACAUGGUCACUGGGGAAAUGGAAUGGUUGCCAAAAUGUCAGACUGUGAUGGGUGCCAUAUUGCAUUAUUCUUUGAGCAGUGGAAUACAGCUUGGUAUUCUUCAGGGGUGGCUAACGUGGUACAAACUGUAGCGUACAGCUGCUGAACAUCUUAACCAUUUGGAUUCAUAUAUAACUUACUGGACGCCUGGAAGAAGUGGAAGAGCUUUUUGCUGAAACUUGAGGAUAUUGUGGGAAAUGCUGCUGAGAGCCAAUUGGAUUAUAUCGCUAUCUGACAUCAAGGUCCUGCAGCUGAUGAAAGGACUUCACCAGGUCUUCUUGUUACAUGGUUUCUGAAGCAUUAUCCUGGGACAGCAGUAAUGAUUGAUGAACACGCUUCGGGCUUGAAUCACAGAGCAGUGUGAGGAUUUACACUUCUGAAGUAGGAGUGUGAAUGGGAUUGAAGGAUUUACAUGCAGGAUUCUGAACUCCCCUCCCUUCUGCUCCAGGAAAGACAGGGGCCUACUAUGAGACUUGUGGGUAUGAUCCACAUGCGCUACUGAAGCUGACUCGAAUGGUGUGACAAAUGUGAUGUCUUUAUCCUGCUAGGAGACGCAGGCGGAUCAUUCUUUACCAGCUGUCAAGGCCAGUGUUACCUCCUCAGUGCCCUGGUGAGGGGGUGCCUUAGAAGGGCUGUGCAGAACAAGCUUUGAACUGCCUCUGCACUUCACUUCAGGCUCCCUGCACUGCAUAAAGCUGCACCAUUCGGAAGAAGCGAGAUUGUCUUCCCUUACAGCUACGACGCUGCACCGCUCUCGGCACAGCCUGCUUUUCCCCCAUUUACCUGGGCGGCUGCUGCUGCUUCUGCUGCUGCUGGGGCUGCUGCAGUCUCGCUGCCUGUGCUUCACCCCGGCUUGGCUGACUCGAAACUCACUUGUCUGCACAUUGCUAAGGAAGAAGAGAGAUGGAGCCGCAUUUUUUUCUGUUGGUUCUGGAAGCAAAGGGUUGCGAUAUGUGAUGAUUUGGGGGUUUUCUUUUGUGGGGAGGAGGGAGGGGGAACGGAUGGAGGAGAAAGGAGGGGUGUUAAUCUAGGAUGGGGUGGGUGAAAGCUUAAAGAAAUAUUAUGUAAAGUAAUCCAGUGCUUGACAAGGGCAUCAGCAGCAAGAAUCCAGCCUCUGCUGCUCCAGAGGAUUAACAAGGGGAAGCCACAGUGCUGCAGUCGGGUUUCACCUCAGCGUUGUGCUGGAGAUGGAUAAAUAAGGUAUCGGUUAUGUCUGCCUGUUAAGGCAAAGCCAUGGGAGAAGGAGAGAGCGAGUGAAUGCAAAUGCAAAAGAAGAAGAAAUGCUACGUGCCGUUUGUCUGAUUCUGUGCAUUCUCAUUGCUGAGAGGAUGGCUCGAUUAACAAAGCAAUGUAUGGACGGAGGGACUGUAAAUUGUGGCUCGAACAUUCCUGAUGCUGUCAGGGAGGGGACUGAUGAGCUAGGUGGCUGCAGCGAUAUCCCCAGGGAAAACAGCAACCACGCGCUCUGUGUGUACUCUGUGUGUAUAUAUAUGUAUGUAUGUGCUUUUGUGUGUGUGUGAGCAUGUAUAGACACGAAAGACAAACAUUUCUGACCAAUUUAUAGAGGAAGUUUGUCACUUUGCUGGGUCAGACUUGAUUGCAGCUUGUAUUUUCAGCUAUAACUCUACACCCAUUUCCUGACUGAGGCGGCACUUUGUGAAAACAGAUGUAGACAGAAUUAAGAAAUGUGAAAGCAAAUCCUUUCCGCUUAACACCUUGAAGCACUGAAUCUUCUGUGCUGUGCUGAGAGAAACUGGGGGGGAGUGUUUCGUUUUCUCCAUCUUAAAAUCUCUAUAAACACAGCUGUAUUCAGUAUGGUGAAAAAUUCUAUACUGUAAAUAGAAAUGUGAUCAAUCUAAUCAAAAUAAAUGCAUCCCAGAUGACUUCUAGACCAGCUGGCUACCACAGUCAUCAGAUGGCUAAAUGCUCAACUGAGAAAAUUGAGCAUUUUAUAUUCAGCUUAAUAUUUACUUUUUUUUUUUUUUUUUUUCUUUUUUAAGAAUUUCAAAAUCGGCUUCUAAUUAAAAAGGAUUCUUCAUCUAUUGAGAAAAGGCAAUGCUCACGUUUGGCAAUAGAUUUCUCUGAAAUGUACAUGAAUAUAUUUUAUAUUGCCGAACACGCGUGGGGGAGACCGUGUUUUUAGAGCAGGUAGACUUGUCACUGUACAGGCAUAUUUAGUUUGGUAGGCAGCUCGGCUUGGCCACGUCUGAACAAUGCAGAAAUAGGGGAAACAAGUGCCGCACUCAGCUAGUGAGACUUGGCAUGGCUUCUAGCAGCUGCCUGCUAAGAAAGAGGUGUUUUUUGUUUUUGUUUUUGUUUUUUUUUUUUUCCCCCUUCAUUUUUUUUCCUUUUAUACAAAUCCAUAGACCAUAAUGUCAUCCUAAAAUGUGUACAAGGGGAUUUCCCAAUAGUCAUGGUGAGCUACCCUGCAAGACGCCUGUCUGGCCCUUCUACUAUUUGUUCCCCAGCCUACAAAGGCACCCCUGUGUGUUGGAUUAUAUUUAGCCAGCUGUUGGAUAACAUUCUUGUGCUGGGGGCAAAGGAGUCUUAUUACUCCCAAACUGUAGUUUUCUGUUUGCUUAAAGAAAAAUAAUCUUGGCAAUACAGCAGGCUCUGCAAAGGGGUUUGUGCCACUCCUAUACCUUUCUGAAACUGUGGUGUGCUUCUAACUUGGGCGGUUUAAAGCAAGCAAGGAAGAGGAAGAGAAACUCUUAACUCACAGCUUCUAAGCUGUAGAGACGAGCAAAAUGUCAGCAGCUUGUAAUUAGGAGUCCACGGUUACGUCGGUGACAGUAUCUCUCCAAGAAUAGCUAUGUGAUGUGUGCCACAAAGCAAAGGAAGACAGUCAUAACCUGGUUAUCAAGCCUGGUUCAAACAAGAAAGAGCAAAAUGGAUUAAUGAAUCUGCUGUGUUCCUAAAUCAAAUGUGGAUGGAUUACAUGUAUGAGGCUUGCUGAAUUCUGCAGCACUGAAGACUGAAUUAUUGGGUUGUCAGAGGGCACGCAUUCACCGAGUGAAAGUGUGAAACCUUCAGAAAAAAAUGCAAACGAACCAUGUACCCUAGAAAAUGUCUUUCCCAGCUCUGCCCUGUACAGGCAGGUGUGUGACACGGAGGUGUGCUCUGAGAGGAGAGACUGGCGAGCUGCACAGAGGUGUUUAAAAGGGAGGGUGUAAUUAAUCACAAAGCAAGCAUGCCAAAAUUCUGUUCUGGCGUUACAGAUUUGAUACCGAGAUACCGCCCCAGAGAAGACUCGCUGGGGUCUGGUGUGGUUUAUAUUCAGGCUUCUCUGGUUAAAGGGUGACGGGGAGCGGGAAGGGCUUCAUGCAGCAUCUUGCAGCCACGCGCAAGUCCCCAGUGCCGUGGGGGGACGGGGGACGUGUGGGGCAAUGUGCUCUUAAAGGCACAUGCCCAGACCCCACCAGGAGCUUUCUGUGCUCCGACAUUAGUUUCAGGUCUGUGCCGGCAACUCGGCAGCAUUUAAGCAGCGAAAUCGCAGGGGGUGCUUAAUCUGCUCCAACCGCCCUUUCUCAGUGUUGUGGCUGGGAGAUGUUUAGAGGGCUUUGAUCAAUGCCCCUCCACAAUAUUCAGCGUGCGUGGCUGUCGGUGUUCACGCCGCCCAUUUGCCAGAAGCCUGGCGUGGUUCCCUGCUCCCAGCAGAAGUCGGGUGCAGUUCAGCUCCGUUUAUGUCACUGUUUAAUUUACCAGGAUAGGUAGAUUGCAUUAUGCAAGCAGUGGGUUUGGUUUGGUUUGUUUUUUUUUUUUUUUUUUUGGACUGCGAACACAAAUUUGUAGGAGGAGGUGACUCUGUAUAUUAAACCAAUAGCUCUUUGAAUUUUGUGUAGUAUAAUUUAAAUAUACUUACUUUAAUUAAUAGAAGGUUACAAAAGCUGGCAUUGUCUGGGGCUGUUUAAUUUACAUCUUAGGUUUAGUCGAUGAGCAUAACCUGCCUGAUUAGAAUAGUGUAUUCUGCACAGCCAACAGGGUGGAAGACAUUAUUUUGUUUGUGUUGGUUCAAACAGCUGGUCAUUAAUGCAGGCCCCAUCUCCAGAGCGAAGUGCUAGUGGACAUGAAUGGCUGUCUGAUUAAUGCUGCCCCUCGACAGGUCCUUCAUCCAGCAGUGAUGCUCACAGCAGAAUAAUGCAGAGUGAUUUGAUUGCGCUCUAACAGGGUAGUAUGUCAUUGUGUCACCAAGCAAUCGAGGUUAUUAUGGGGCAGGGCAGACAGACGGGACAGUGGGGUUACUAGACCGUGGCAUUUUUAGAAAUGCAGGCCUGACCUACUUAGAGUUAUUCUUGCUGGCUGGCAGCUGCCUGGUGCAGGGCUCCCCCUGAUAGGCUGUGGCUGUUGCUAGGGGGAAUUAGCAUGAAUUUUUCCACAUACAGACUCAGUGAUUGAAUGAUAAAAGCUGACUGGAAUUAAAGAGAUUCGGUUCAGUAUUAUGCAGAUUUAUCUCCCUGUUUUUUUUAUUUUUUUUUUUUCCACUCUCUCAAAUGCAUAAAAAGGAGCAGAAGACGGUUUAUUUCCAUUUAUUUUUGACCUAUUUUUUUUCCAGGGGAGGGCAGAAGUGUUGUGAAUUUUUGAUCAUCAUUUAGUAUUUAAGCCGUUGAAAUGAUAUGACAGUGAGCAUGCAUCUUUAAUGUAUAGGACAUUCAAAUGCUGUCUCUUUGGAAGGGAGUGAAAUGAAUAUAUUUUGUGUUCUGGUCAGACUGUCGCCUCUUUCUAUUUGAAGCUAUGUCAGAUUCCCUUGUCUGGAAAGGGGAAACAUAUACCAGGUUUUAUUGCAUAACGUUACUCUUGACUAUUUUUAUCUAUCUGUACUUCACAAAAUUAGUCCUGUGUUUAUGUUGGUGGAUGAAGUUAAUCCCCGGACUGUGUCUCCUGUAUGCAGAGACAGAUGCCCAGGGUCUGCUGCAGUGUCGUGUGUCAUGUUCAUCUGAAAAGGUGUUUACGUACUACAGACGUAUCAGCACUGCAUACCUAGCAGCAGACUGAUGCCUGGCCUGUAAUCAGAUCAAUUAGAGAACCUCUUCUGGAUUUUUGAGUAUUACUCAGGCUUUGGUUUGAAGUUAGAUUUUUUUAGAUGGCCCUUAUUUAUUUAUCUACAUCUGCCUAAAAUAGUGUUAUUUUUUCAGCAAACUCUAUGCUCCCUCAGGAAGCAAAUAAAAACAAUACUCAGUGAAUAAUCCUUUGAUGUUAUUACGAAUAUUUCCUUUGUUAUUAUCACUAAUUAUAGAAGGUCUUUGUUUAAAAUGCAAUUCCCCUCUGUGUGAUCUUUUACCAUGCAAAGAAGUUAUAAUUUAGUGCUUAUAAUUUUAAAUGAUUUUUUCAUGGCAACUCAUCGUGACAUCACACUUGAAGAAUCGGGAAUUUUCAGAGUAAGAGGCAACUGGGAAUGGGGGAGAGGGACUCAAAAGUCUUUGGAAUUACAAAAUAAAAAGUGUGACUGGGUGCUGAAAA